GAUAAACGCUGGCGGCGCACAUAAGACAUGCAAGUCGAACGGACUUAACUCAUUCUUUUAGAUUGAGAGCGGUUAGUGGCGGACUGGUGAGUAACACGUAAGCAACCUGCCUAUUAGAGGGGAAUAACAGUUAGAAAUGACUGCUAAUAUCGCAUAUGCCUAAGUAUCGCAUGAUACAAUAGGGAAAGGAGUAAUCCGCUGAUAGAUGGGCUUGCGUCUGAUUAGCUAGUUGGUGGGGUAACGGCCUACCAAGGCGACGAUCAGUAGCCGGACUGAGAGGUUGAACGGCCACAUUGGGACUGAGACACGGCCCAG
RNAcentral lists this ribosomal RNA (315 nucleotides) under uncultured bacterium. RNAcentral describes it as "bacterial SSU rRNA". It matches the Rfam family "Bacterial small subunit ribosomal RNA", at positions 28 to 334 of the family's 1533-position model. The record is from RNAcentral.